RNAcentral lists this ribosomal RNA (465 nucleotides) under uncultured bacterium. Its description in RNAcentral is "partial 16S ribosomal RNA". It matches the Rfam family "Bacterial small subunit ribosomal RNA", at positions 338 to 795 of the family's 1533-position model. The record is from RNAcentral.
CCUACGGGAGGCAGCAGUAGGGAAUUUUCGUCAAUGGGCGCAAGCCUGAACGAGCGAUGCCGCGUGAGUGAAGAAGGCAUUCGGGUCGUAAAGCUCUGUUGCGGGGGAAAAAAGGCAGCAUCAGGAAAUGGGUGCUGACUGAUGGUGCCCCGCCAGAAAGUCACGGCUAACUACGUGCCAGCAGCCGCGGUAAUACGUAGGUGGCGAGCGUUAUCCGGAAUGGUUGGGCGUAAAGGGUGCGCAGGCGGUCCUGCAAGUCUGGAGUGAAACGCAUGAGCUCAACCCAUGCAUGGCUUUGGAAACUGGAGGACUGGAGAGCAGGAGAGGGCGGUGGAACUCCAUGUGUAGCGGUAAAAUGCGUAGAUAUAUGGAAGAACACCAGUGGCGAAGGCGGCCGCCUGGCCUGUUGCUGACGUUGAGGCACGAAAGCGUGGGGAGCAAAUAGGAUUAGAUACCCCAGUAGUC